This 521-nucleotide ribosomal RNA is filed under the name Candida tropicalis. Its description in RNAcentral is "eukaryotic LSU rRNA". It matches the Rfam family "Eukaryotic large subunit ribosomal RNA", at positions 118 to 655 of the family's 3401-position model. The record is from RNAcentral. Lineage: Eukaryota; Fungi; Ascomycota; Pichiomycetes; Serinales; Debaryomycetaceae.
AAAUCUGGCUCUUUCAGAGUCCGAGUUGUAAUUUGAAGAAGGUAUCUUUGGGUCUGGCUCUUGUCUAUGUUUCUUGGAACAGAACGUCACAGAGGGUGAGAAUCCCGUGCGAUGAGAUGAUCCAGGCCUAUGUAAAGUUCCUUCGAAGAGUCGAGUUGUUUGGGAAUGCAGCUCUAAGUGGGUGGUAAAUUCCAUCUAAAGCUAAAUAUUGGCGAGAGACCGAUAGCGAACAAGUACAGUGAUGGAAAGAUGAAAAGAACUUUGAAAAGAGAGUGAAAAAGUACGUGAAAUUGUUGAAAGGGAAGGGCUUGAGAUCAGACUUGGUAUUUUGUAUGUUACUUCUUCGGGGGUGGCCUCUACAGUUUAUCGGGCCAGCAUCAGUUUGGGCGGUAGGAGAAUUGCGUUGGAAUGUGGCACGGCUUCGGUUGUGUGUUAUAGCCUUCGUCGAUACUGCCAGCCUAGACUGAGGACUGCGGUUUAUACCUAGGAUGUUGGCAUAAUGAUCUUAAGUCGCCCGUCUU